This is a long non-coding RNA of Oncorhynchus nerka (sockeye salmon), 650 nucleotides long. RefSeq lists it as uncharacterized. Lineage: Eukaryota; Metazoa; Chordata; Actinopteri; Salmoniformes; Salmonidae. The record is from RefSeq and is a predicted model, not a curated record. The transcript is spliced from 3 exons.
GUAACGUUACUCAUUUUAUAACCUUUAUGAUGUUAUAGUCAAUCGUGCUUAUGUAGCCACAUUCUUCUAUUAGCUCUGUAAAACAAUGCUAAAUGCGUCAGAGAAGUAUUAUCUUGUGUUGCAUUUUGAAGCUACCAUGGCCUUAUGACUCUCAAGUGGUGCAGCGGUCAAAGGCACAGCACAUCAGUACUAGAGGUGUCACUACAGACUCCCUGGUUCAAAUCCAGGCUGCGUUUCCAUCAAAAAACAUUAUUUGCCAAUAUCAUAACUGAAGCUGGACAUCUUUGGAGCAUAAGAAUGAGGACAGCUUUUGUAUGCUAACGUACACUCCUUAACAGUUGUACUGGAUGAAAACACAGCAAGAAAACGCAUGCCAAUAUGCAUAGUAUCAUGGCUGGUCACCUGUCAAGUCACAUGUCAGGUCAGUCAGUCACCUAUUGCUGCAGAUGUGCUCAAUAAUGCUUGAGUAUGUGAUACUCCUCAAAGCAUGGUGAAAUACAUAGAGGUGUAUCACAAGCUAGACACAUGUAUUUUGUCAUCUUCCUCUGCUUACUUCUCCUGGCGCCAGACAGGCAGACUUUGCAAUGCCUCCGUGUGCGACUACCUUGAGAAGCAGUUUGAGGGACUUUGCAGGGAAAAUGUCGUGCAGU